CCCGCUGAACUUAAGCAUAUCAAUAAGCGGAGGAAAAGAAACCAACAGGGAUUGCCUCAGUAACGGCGAGUGAAGCGGCAAGAGCUCAAAUUUGAAAUCUGGCGCCUUCGGUGUCCGAGUUGUAAUUUGAAGAGGAUGCCUCGGUUGCAGCCACGGCCCAAGUUCCUUGGAACAGGACGUCGCAGAGGGUGAGAAUCCCGUUCAGCGGCUGCCGGCUUGCUUCCAUGUGUGGCUCCUUCGAAGAGUCGAGUUGUUUGGGAAUGCAGCUCAAAAUGGGUGGUAAAUUCCAUCUAAAGCUAAAUAUUGGCGAGAGACCGAUAGCGCACAAGUAGAGUGAUCGAAAGAUGAAAAGCACUUUGAAAAGAGAGUUAAACAGUACGUGAAAUUGUUGAAAGGGAAGCGCUUGCAAUCAGACUCACCUGCGGUUGAUCAACGUUCCUUCUGGUUCGUGCACUCUGCCGUUUGUGGGCCAGCAUCGGUUGGUGCGGUGGGACAAAGGCUCCGGGAAUGUGGCUCUCUUCGGGGAGUGUUAUAGCCCGGUGCGCAAUGCCGCCAGCUGCCAGCCGAGGUCCGCGAUUCGUCUAGGAUGCUGGCUUAAUGGUUGCAAGCGACCCGUCUUGAAACACGG
RNAcentral lists this ribosomal RNA (628 nucleotides) under uncultured fungus. Its description in RNAcentral is "eukaryotic LSU rRNA". It matches the Rfam family "Eukaryotic large subunit ribosomal RNA", at positions 24 to 664 of the family's 3401-position model. Lineage: Eukaryota; Fungi. The record is from RNAcentral.